GAGAGGUGGGCAAUUACCACUCAGGGCCGGAAGCUCUCCAAACUCGGGUCAUUUAGAGGAAGUAAAAGUCGUAACAAGGUCUCCGUAGGUGAACCAGCGAGGGAUCAUUACCGAGUUUACAACUCCCAAACCCCUGUGAACAUACCACUUGUUGCCUCGGCGGAUCAGCCCGCUCCCGGUAAAACGGGACGGCCCGCCAGAGGACCCCUAAACUCUGUUUCUAUAUGUAACUUCUGAGUAAAACCAUAAAUAAAUCAAAACUUUCAACAACGGAUCUCUUGGUUCUGGCAUCGAUGAAGAACGCAGCAAAAUGCGAUAAGUAAUGUGAAUUGCAGAAUUCAGUGAAUCAUCGAAUCUUUGAACGCACAUUGCGCCCGCCAGUAUUCUGGCGGGCAUGCCUGUUCGAGCGUCAUUUCAACCCUCAAGCACAGCUUGGUGUUGGGACUCGCGUUAAUUCGCGUUCCUCAAAUUGAUUGGCGGUCACGUCGAGCUUCCAUAGCGUAGUAGUAAAACCCUCGUUACUGGUUAUCUCGCGGCCACGCCGUUAAACCCCAACUUCUGAAUGUGACCUCUGAUCAGUAGAAUACAAGC
This 591-nucleotide ribosomal RNA is filed under the name Fusarium oxysporum. RNAcentral's name for it is "eukaryotic LSU rRNA". The stretch from base 259 to 412 matches the Rfam family "5.8S ribosomal RNA". Lineage: Eukaryota; Fungi; Ascomycota; Sordariomycetes; Hypocreales; Nectriaceae. The record is from RNAcentral.